This 85-nucleotide transfer RNA is filed under the name Verrucomicrobiales bacterium. RNAcentral's name for it is "tRNA-Leu". It matches the Rfam family "tRNA". Rfam says of the family: Transfer RNA (tRNA) molecules are approximately 80 nucleotides in length. Their secondary structure includes four short double-helical elements and three loops (D, anti-codon, and T loops). Lineage: Bacteria; Pseudomonadati; Verrucomicrobiota; Verrucomicrobiia; Verrucomicrobiales. The record is from RNAcentral.
GCGCGCGUGGCGGAAUUGGCAGACGCGCCAGACUUAGGAUCUGGUCCCGGAAGGGGUGGAGGUUCGAGUCCUCUCGCGCGCACCA